RNAcentral lists this transfer RNA (76 nucleotides) under Salinisphaera sp. Q1T1-3. Its description in RNAcentral is "tRNA-Arg". It matches the Rfam family "tRNA". From Rfam's summary of the family: Transfer RNA (tRNA) molecules are approximately 80 nucleotides in length. Their secondary structure includes four short double-helical elements and three loops (D, anti-codon, and T loops). The record is from RNAcentral. Lineage: Bacteria; Pseudomonadati; Pseudomonadota; Gammaproteobacteria; Salinisphaerales; Salinisphaeraceae.
GCGCUCGUAGCUCAGGGGAUAGAGCAGCGGUCUUCUAAACCGCUGGUCGCUGGUUCGAAUCCAGCCGGGCGCACCA